Molecule: long non-coding RNA, 366 nt
Organism: Frankliniella occidentalis (western flower thrips)
Lineage: Eukaryota; Metazoa; Arthropoda; Insecta; Thysanoptera; Thripidae
Exons: 3
Source: RefSeq, a predicted model, not a curated record
ACUCUGAAAUAUUAUUGUCUAAAGUGUAUGUAUUGAUUGUAUGAAUGUUAGGUGUCAACUGCUGCUGGUAGCUCGAAUGUGGUCAUUUCUAAUAAUGCUAAUACUAAUGAGUUUCAAGACCCAAUAGUUCUCAGAAGUGCUUUUCAGGCCACCCUUCCAGAGUAUGAGCACUUGGUUGUAGAAUUAGAUCAAGCACACCCUUACCCAAAAAUUGAGAACAUGAACCGUGGUGAGAUGUGUACAGCGCUGCUCAGGGUGAACCUACGCAGCAAAGAGGAGGCAUUGCAAUGGCUGGCUGACUACCAAACGUCUUCGUCAACUGACUGGAGAGUCAGGCGAACGUUUGAGGAAAAUACACCUUGCAUC